This 401-nucleotide long non-coding RNA is filed under the name Bos taurus (domestic cattle). RNAcentral's name for it is "long non-coding RNA NONBTAT024815". Lineage: Eukaryota; Metazoa; Chordata; Mammalia; Artiodactyla; Bovidae. The record is from RNAcentral.
UUUUCAAAACAUUUAACAAAGUACUAAAAUAUAAUUUCAUAAACUCUCCAUCUCUUUUGAUAAACUAGAAAAUCAGAUGACAGUAUGUCUAAACCCUCUUCACCACUGUCAAGUGAAGCUAACUUACAGUCUGUCCCCUUUAGAUGCUGUCUCCUAGUUACAACCAGUCACUUCUAGGCCCAGGUUAUCUGGGGUUUUGACCCUUGACGUAGAGUAACUAGAAGCAAAUUCUGAUCAUGGUUUUUGUCACCAUCAAAAACAAGCUUUCAGAGAUUGUCUCACUGUACCAUAAGGUACUUUUAAAUGUUUUAAAAAACAUAGUACUCAACCAUUUGAUUCAAUUGCUAGGCUUGACCAAAAAGGGUAUGAAAUGUAUCCCUGAGUAAUAAUAAAAGAUAUAA